This 305-nucleotide ribosomal RNA is filed under the name uncultured bacterium. RNAcentral describes it as "bacterial SSU rRNA". It matches the Rfam family "Bacterial small subunit ribosomal RNA", at positions 335 to 640 of the family's 1533-position model. The record is from RNAcentral.
AGCCUACGGGGGGCAGCAGUGAGGAAUAUUGGUCAAUGGGCGAGAGCCUGAACCAGCCAAGUCGCGUGAGGGAGUACUGCCCUAUGGGUUGUAAACCUCUUUUGUCGGGGAGCAAAAGCCGGACGUGUCCGGCUGUGAGAGUACCCGGAGAAAAAGCAUCGGCUAACUCCGUGCCAGCAGCCGCGGUAAUACGGAGGAUGCGAGCGUUAUCCGGAUUUAUUGGGUUUAAAGGGUGCGUAGGCGGACCGUCAAGUCAGCGGUAAAAUACGGGGGCUCAACCUCCGCCCGCCGUUGAAACUGACGGU